CAGUAGCCACGGUAAAACGUAGGUGGCAAGCGUUGUCUGGAAUUAUUGGGCGUAAAGGGCUCGCAGGCGGUUUCUUAAGUCCGAUGUGAAAGCCCCCGGCUCAACCGGGGAGGGUCAUUGGAAACUGGGGAACUUGAGUGCAGAAGAGGAGAGUGGAAUUCCACGUGUAGCGGUGAAAUGCGUAGAGAUGUGGAGGAACACCAGUGGCGAAGGCGACUCUCUGGUCUGUAACUGACGCUGAGGAGCGAAAGCGUGGGGAGCGAACAGGAUUAGAUACCCCUGUAGUCCCUGUCUCUUAUAC
Molecule: ribosomal RNA, 301 nt
Filed under: uncultured bacterium
Lineage: Bacteria
Description: partial 16S ribosomal RNA
Rfam family: Bacterial small subunit ribosomal RNA
Source: RNAcentral